UUAAGCGACUAAGCGUACACGGUGGAUGCCCUGGCAGUCAGAGGCGAUGAAGGACGUGCUAAUCUGCGAAAAGCGUCGGUAAGGUGAUAUGAACCGUUAUAACCGGCGAUGUCCGAAUGGGGAAACCCAGUGUGAUUCGUCACACUAUCGUUAACUGAAUACAUAGGUUAACGAGGCGAACCGGGGGAACUGAAACAUCUAAGUACCCCGAGGAAAAGAAAUCAACCGAGAUUCCCCCAGUAGCGGCGAGCGAACGGGGAGCAGCCCAGAGUCUGAAUCAGCUUGUGUGUUAGUGGAACGGUCUGGAAAGUCCGACGGUACAGGGUGAUAGUCCCGUACACCAAAAUGCACAGGUUGUGAACUCGAAGAGUAGGGCGGGACACGUGGUAUCCUGUCUGAAUAUGGGGGGACCAUCCUCCAAGGCUAAAUACUCCUGACUGACCGAUAGUGAACCAGUACCGUGAGGGAAAGGCGAAAAGAACCCCGGCGAGGGGAGUGAAAAAGAACCUGAAACCGUGUACGUACAAGCAGUGGGAGCACCUUCGGGUGUGACUGCGUACCUUUUGUAUAAUGGGUCAGCGACUUAUAUUCUGUAGCAAGGUUAACCGUAUAGGGGAGCCGCAGGGAAACCGAGUCUUAACUGGGCGUUAAGUUGCAGGGUAUAGACCCGAAACCCGGUGAUCUAGCCAUGGGCAGGUUGAAGGUUGGGUAACACUAACUGGAGGACCGAACCGACUAAUGUUGAAAAAUUAGCGGAUGACUUGUGGCUGGGGGUGAAAGGCCAAUCAAACCGGGAGAUAGCUGGUUCUCCCCGAAAGCUAUUUAGGUAGCGCCUCGUGAAUUCAUCUUCGGGGGUAGAGCACUGUUUCGGCUAGGGGGUCAUCCCGACUUACCAACCCGAUGCAAACUACGAAUACCGAAGAAUGUUAUCACGGGAGACACACGGCGGGUGCUAACGUCCGUCGUGAAGAGGGAAACAACCCAGACCGCCAGCUAAGGUCCCAAAGUCAUGGUUAAGUGGGAAACGAUGUGGGAAGGCACAGACAGCCAGGAUGUUGGCUUAGAAGCAGCCAUCAUUUAAAGAAAGCGUAAUAGCUCACUGGUCGAGUCGGCCUGCGCGGAAGAUGUAACGGGGCUAAACCAUGCACCGAAGCUGCGGCAGCGACACUAUGUGUUGUUGGGUAGGGGAGCGUUCUGUAAGCCUGCGAAGGUGACCUGUGAGGGUUGCUGGAGGUAUCAGAAGUGCGAAUGCUGACAUAAGUAACGAUAAAGCGGGUGAAAAGCCCGCUCGCCGGAAGACCAAGGGUUCCUGUCCAACGUUAAUCGGGGCAGGGUGAGUCGACCCCUAAGGCGAGGCCGAAAGGCGUAGUCGAUGGGAAACAGGUUAAUAUUCCUGUACUUGGUGUUACUGCGAAGGGGGGACGGAGAAGGCUAUGUUAGCCGGGCGACGGUUGUCCCGGUUUAAGCAUGUAGGCGGAGGUUCCAGGUAAAUCCGGUACCUUUUAACGCUGAGGUGUGAUGACGAGGCACUACGGUGCUGAAGUAACAAAUGCCCUGCUUCCAGGAAAAGCCUCUAAGCAUCAGGUAACAUCAAAUCGUACCCCAAACCGACACAGGUGGUCAGGUAGAGAAUACCAAGGCGCUUGAGAGAACUCGGGUGAAGGAACUAGGCAAAAUGGUGCCGUAACUUCGGGAGAAGGCACGCUGGUGUGUAGGUGAAGUCCCUGCGGAUGGAGCUGAGACCAGUCGAAGAUACCAGCUGGCUGCAACUGUUUAUUAAAAACACAGCACUGUGCAAACACGAAAGUGGACGUAUACGGUGUGACGCCUGCCCGGUGCCGGAAGGUUAAUUGAUGGGGUUAUCCGUAAGGAGAAGCUCUUGAUCGAAGCCCCGGUAAACGGCGGCCGUAACUAUAACGGUCCUAAGGUAGCGAAAUUCCUUGUCGGGUAAGUUCCGACCUGCACGAAUGGCGUAAUGAUGGCCAGGCUGUCUCCACCCGAGACUCAGUGAAAUUGAACUCGCUGUGAAGAUGCAGUGUACCCGCGGCAAGACGGAAAGACCCCGUGAACCUUUACUAUAGCUUGACACUGAACAUUGAGCCUUGAUGUGUAGGAUAGGUGGGAGGCUUUGAAGCGUGGACGCCAGUCUGCGUGGAGCCAACCUUGAAAUACCACCCUUUAAUGUUUGAUGUUCUAACGUUGGCCCCUUACCGGGGUUGCGGACAGUGUCUGGUGGGUAGUUUGACUGGGGCGGUCUCCUCCCAAAGCGUAACGGAGGAGCACGAAGGUUAGCUAAUCCUGGUCGGACAUCAGGAGGUUAGUGCAAUGGCAUAAGCUAGCUUGACUGCGAGCGUGACGGCGCGAGCAGGUGCGAAAGCAGGUCAUAGUGAUCCGGUGGUUCUGAAUGGAAGGGCCAUCGCUCAACGGAUAAAAGGUACUCCGGGGAUAACAGGCUGAUACCGCCCAAGAGUUCAUAUCGACGGCGGUGUUUGGCACCUCGAUGUCGGCUCAUCACAUCCUGGGGCUGAAGUAGGUCCCAAGGGUAUGGCUGUUCGCCAUUUAAAGUGGUACGCGAGCUGGGUUUAGAACGUCGUGAGACAGUUCGGUCCCUAUCUGCCGUGGGCGCUGGAGAAUUGAGGGGGGCUGCUCCUAGUACGAGAGGACCGGAGUGGACGCAUCACUGGUGUUCGGGUUGUCAUGCCAAUGGCACUGCCCGGUAGCUAAAUGCGGAAGAGAUAAGUGCUGAAAGCAUCUAAGCACGAAACUUGCCCCGAGAUGAGUUCUCCCUGAGACUUUAAGUCUCCUGAAGGAACGUUGAAGACGACGACGUUGAUAGGCCGGGUGUGUAAGCGCAGCGAUGCGUUGAGCUAACCGGUACUAAUGAACCGUGAGGCUUAACCUU
Molecule: ribosomal RNA, 2902 nt
Filed under: Klebsiella pneumoniae
Lineage: Bacteria; Pseudomonadati; Pseudomonadota; Gammaproteobacteria; Enterobacterales; Enterobacteriaceae
Description: bacterial LSU rRNA
Rfam family: Bacterial large subunit ribosomal RNA
Source: RNAcentral